CGCGUAGGCGGGUGGCCAAGUCAGGGGUGAAAUCUUUCGGCUUAACCGGAAAAUAGCUUCUGAUACUGGUCAUCUUGAGGGAGGUAGGGGUCUGUGGAACUUCUGGUGGAGCGGUGAAAUGCGUAGAUAUCAGAAGGAACGCCGGUGGCGAAAGCGACGGACUGGACCUCAUCUGACGCUGAGGCGCGAAAGCUAGGGGAAGGCAAACG
RNAcentral lists this ribosomal RNA (209 nucleotides) under uncultured bacterium. RNAcentral describes it as "partial 16S ribosomal RNA". It matches the Rfam family "Bacterial small subunit ribosomal RNA", at positions 568 to 774 of the family's 1533-position model. The record is from RNAcentral.